Molecule: long non-coding RNA, 682 nt
Organism: Selaginella moellendorffii
Lineage: Eukaryota; Viridiplantae; Streptophyta; Lycopodiopsida; Selaginellales; Selaginellaceae
Exons: 2
Source: RefSeq, a predicted model, not a curated record
ACGCUCUCUUUUUUUCACCACGGCUCCUCCCAGCCACGGGGUUUCCAGGGGAAGCGAGAGAGGGGGCACUGCUGCCCAGCAGCAACCAAGGACAGGGGAUCGCUCGGCAUCCCUUUUCCAGCAGAAGGAGCCCAAAUCGUCCGAGCAGGAUUUUGGCGACGAGCAGCUGCAAUGGCGUGGCCGGAGGCAUCGACAGGGAAGCAGCGGCCAGGGAUUUUGCUGGAAUGGAUGGCGAGCAGCGUUGCAGAGCCUGGAGGUGUGGACGUGAGGCACAGGAAUUCCUAUUUUUGAUCCAGCAGGGGAUUCGCUUUCAUCACGUACAAAAGUGUUGACGACCCGAGGAAAGCUAUAGAUGAUCCCAACAAGACAACAGUGGGAAUGCACGUAAUUGUAAAGUGAGCAGCAGAUGGUCGGCUCCAGAGCACGCGACGAGCAAGUGGUACAUCGUUCCAUCACUCACCCACACAACACACACAAUAGUGUUGCGAUGGGACAGGGAGCACAAACUCACGCAGUAAGCAAAGCAUUAUCACUUCAUUAUAACGUUUAAGACACUAACUAGCACAAACAUACAUAUAGCUUUUACAACAGUAAUAUCAAGAGGCUAUAGAGUAUCGACAUCAAACAAAUCUUAAUAAUCACAUUAAACAGCAGUCAAUUUCGAAUUCCUAUUUGCCCUGUU